CAAUGCCGCGUGUGUGAAGAAGGCCUGAGGGUUGUAAAGCACUUUCAGUAGGGAGGAGGGCUUAUAGGUUAAGAGCUGAUAAGUUGGACGUUACCUACAGAAGAAGCACCGGCUAACUCCGUGCCAGCAGCCGCGGUAAUACGGAGGGUGCGAGCGUUAAUCGGAAUUACUGGGCGUAAAGGGUGCGUAGGUGGUUUAUUAAGUUAACUGUGAAAUCCCUGGGCUUAACCUAGGGAGGUCAGUUAAAACUGGUAGACUCGAGUACAAGAGAGGGUAGUGGAAUUUCCGGUGUAGCGGUGAAAUGCGUAGAGAUCGGAAGGAACACCAGUGGCGAAGGCGGCUACCUGGCUUGAUACUGACACUGAGGCACGAAAGCGUGGGGAGCAAACAGGAUUAGAUACCCUGGUAGUCCACGCCGUAAACGAUGUCAACUGGCUGUUAGGUACAUAAAUGUAUUUAGUGGCAAAGCUAACGCGUUAAGUUGACCGCCUGGGGAGU
This 498-nucleotide ribosomal RNA is filed under the name uncultured bacterium. RNAcentral describes it as "bacterial SSU rRNA". It matches the Rfam family "Bacterial small subunit ribosomal RNA", at positions 392 to 881 of the family's 1533-position model. The record is from RNAcentral.